Molecule: long non-coding RNA, 602 nt
Organism: Eufriesea mexicana
Lineage: Eukaryota; Metazoa; Arthropoda; Insecta; Hymenoptera; Apidae
Exons: 3
Source: RefSeq, a predicted model, not a curated record
UCUUCGAAGCACGUUAGGCGCAUCCCUUUUUCUGUUCAUCGCAACUUCGAUGUAACGUUUGUUAAUUCUACAGAGAAUCUUCCAUCGAUAUGUUUACUGCUGCAACGACAAAGGCGACGGAGAUUUCUAGCCUAGUACAGCUGCUGAAACGGUUUAUCCGAGCCGGGAAGAAGCCCACCGACACGUACCCACUGCAAACACGAGAAAAUCAGCAGGACCGAGCAUAUCGCGAGCGCAACGUCGCGAACUGCGAGAAGAGGCGAUCUACGAGACGAUAAGAGACCCGAUGAUCGUUCCCGCGAUCGAAAGAUUGUGCUUCGCUCUCGAAAGAAAUCGGCGCCCGAUCGUUGUCCGAGGUGAUAAGUUAUUUUCGGUGUCGAAUCCCAAGGCUAGUCGGUUUAACGGUCUAAUUAACAGUUUACGAUUUAAUUAACAGUCCCGUGUCCAGUCGAGCCAUUACCAGGGUCUUUGCACGAUACGCCUUAUUGACCGUACGUUUUAUCGAGAACUUUUCUGCUGCGUUCCCCGAGUAUGUUGCGCAACGACCAGGGAUCCCGUACGUGGCCGUUCGUGUCGACACGCGCGUCUUCCAAAUCACCAAC